This 119-nucleotide ribosomal RNA is filed under the name Lepisosteus oculatus (spotted gar). The record is from RNAcentral. Lineage: Eukaryota; Metazoa; Chordata; Actinopteri; Semionotiformes; Lepisosteidae.
GGCAGCAGCCAUAUCACUCUGCAACUCCCAGCUGGCAGCCCACUGGAGCUCAGCAGGUGUGAGCCUGGCCAGUACCUGGAGGGGAGACCUCCUGGGAAAACUUAAGGUUACUGCUGGAA